This 1183-nucleotide ribosomal RNA is filed under the name uncultured Rozellomycota. RNAcentral's name for it is "SSU rRNA". It matches the Rfam family "Eukaryotic small subunit ribosomal RNA", at positions 455 to 1690 of the family's 1831-position model. Lineage: Eukaryota; Fungi; Rozellomycota. The record is from RNAcentral.
CACAGGGAGGUAGUGACAGUAAAUAACAAUGCAGGACCAUCUUGGUUUUGCAAUUGGAAUGAGAACAAUUUAAAUCCCUUAUCAAGUAACAAUUGGAGGGCAAGUCUGGUGCCAGCAGCCGCGGUAAUUCCAGCUCCAAUAGCGUAUAUUAAAGUUGUUGCAGUUAAAAAGCUCGUAGUUGAACCUUGGGCAAGAUGACUCUGGUCGAUCGCAAGAUCGUACUAGAGCGUCACGCCUCUAUUGGGGGACUUGUCGUUCUGCGGCAAGGUAACCCGUGUUACUGUGAAGAAAUUAGAGUGUUUAAAGCAGGCGAUCGCUUGAAUACAUCAGCAUGGAAUAACAAGAUAUGACUCCGGUCUUUCUUGUUGGUUUGAGGGCUAGAGUAAUGAUUAAUAGGGCCAGUUGGGGGCAUUAGUAUUCAGUAGUCAGAGGUGAAAUUCUUGGAUUUACUGAAGACUAACUAGUGCGAAAGCAUUUGCCAAGGAUGUUUUCAUUAAUCAAGAACGAAAGUUAGGGGAUCGAAGACGAUCAGAUACCGUCGUAGUCUUAACUAUAAACGAUGCCGACUAAGGAUCGGCAGAAGUCGUUUGCGACUCUGUCGGCACUUUGUGAGAAAUCAAAGUUUUUGGGUUCUGGGGGGAGUAUGGUCGCAAGGCUGAAACUUAAAGGAAUUGACGGAAGGGCACCACCAGGAGUGGAGCCUGCGGCUUAAUUUGACUCAACACGGGAAAACUCACCAGGUCCGGACAUAGUAAGGAUUGACAGAUUGAGAGCUCUUUCUUGAUUCUGUGGGUGGUGGUGCAUGGCCGUUCUUAGUUGGUGGAGUGAUUUGUCUGGUUAAUUCCGAUAACGAACGAGACCUUAACCUGCUAACUAGUUGUGAAUACGCGAGUAUUUAAGACUUCUUAGAGGGACUGACUAUGUUUAAUAGUCGGAAGUUUGAGGCAAUAACAGGUCUGUGAUGCCCUUAGAUGUUCUGGGCUGCACGCGCGCUACAAUGACAAAGUCAGCGAGUACAACCUUGGCCGAGAGGCUUGGGAAAUCUUGUGAAACUUUGUCGUGCUGGGGAUAGAUCAUUGCAAUUAUUGGUCUUGAACGAGGAAUUCCUAGUAAGCGCAUGUCAUCAGCAUGCGUUGAUUACGUCCCUGCCCUUUGUACACACCGCCCGUCGCUACUACCGAUU